This 103-nucleotide ribosomal RNA is filed under the name Sinocyclocheilus grahami. The record is from RNAcentral. Lineage: Eukaryota; Metazoa; Chordata; Actinopteri; Cypriniformes; Cyprinidae.
AACACAAAACACACCUACAGAGUGCACGCAUAAGUGCAAGCAAAGCAGGGUUGAGCCUGGUCAGUACCUGGAUGGGAGACCUCCUGGGAAAACUAGGUUGCUA